Ruditapes philippinarum (Manila clam) is the source of this 4601-nucleotide long non-coding RNA. RefSeq lists it as uncharacterized. NCBI's taxonomy places the organism in Eukaryota, Metazoa, Mollusca, Bivalvia, Venerida, Veneridae. The transcript is spliced from 2 exons. The record is from RefSeq and is a predicted model, not a curated record.
UAACUAUUUGUGAAGUAUUAAGGGAUGACAUUUAGUAUUUAUGUAAAUAUCACCUCCCGUGAUAUGAUUUCUAAAAUUAUACAUGUUUACACCGUCUCAUUUCGGCGAUCUCCGAGGUCAAUUUACUGAAUGGCGUAAAUCCGAUGAGAAAUCGGGAAGGGUGUGUGUGCAUUCCUCAUUAAUUAGCGUGUGCACAUUGCCUGAUAGUACUUGAUAUAUAUAUUAAAAUAAAUUUGUCCAUCUCAGACCCGUUUGUAUACGAAUCAAAACAAUUACAAUACGGAGAUUGCCGAUGAAAAAUUGAGCUAGAAUAUAUAAGAUCAGAUUUGAUUGGUCGUCCUUAAUUUUACCAGCCAAUGAAAUCGUUUGUUGUAUAGUCACUUGAUGUCAAAAUACAUGUACAAAUACAAUGACAACAACAGUGAAGUGUUUACCGCCUGGUUAUCUGAAAAAGGGUGCAAAAAACAAAUGGAGGUGGGAGUGGUUAGCGGAAAAGGACUCUAAAGGUGAAAAAUGGGAUGCUUGGUUGAAAAAACCAAAUGACAUGGGCUUUUGUGAAGUCUGUUCCAAAACGAUCAUCUAGACAAAUCGAACAGAAAAAAGGUGCUUCUUAAUCACGAUGAGCUGAAGAUGAGGACCACUAAAAGAAUCUUAGACCAAUACUGCCAGGCUCAUCAAAAGCUGUGGACAAAAAGAUUGAAAGUAUGCAAGAUCGCAUUGCCAAACAAAGAGCAAUCACAACUGCCUUUCUUAGUGAACAUUGACUGCCAUUUUCCAUAGCAGGCGAUCUCUAACAUCUUGCCAAACGUUUAACUGAAGACAAGCCUGCUCUUGAAAAAACUACUCUUUCUCCAACCAAUGUACAUAACAACACAUGGUGUAGCCAAAUCUGUUAAGGAUGGAGUGAAGUCAAAAGUGAAAGAUAAGUUAAUAUCUUUGAAUAUGGAUGAGGCAACUAACAAAAAACAAUAACAAAGUACUGAAUAUAAUCUUUCAGUACUUUGAUAAUGAAACUAGUCAAGUAGUAAUGGAUCAUUUAGGAUUGAGAAUUCAAAAUGAUUCCACAUCUGAAGAAAUUGUCAAGUCAGUUGAAAGUGUGCUGCAUCAACAAGUGGAAGACAAUGGAAAAAAUUAAAUUUAAGAUAUGAAAUUGAAAAUAGUAAAAAGAAUGAACAUAAUUUGUUAUGUGGAAUGUGUAUAUAUUGCUUAAAUAGUAUUGCUCAGUGAAUUUGUGUAUAUUUUAACAUAUCAGAUUAAUUACAUCUGAAGAUAAAUAAAGCACUUGAGUAUGUAUUUGAGCCUUUUUUUGAACUUUUAAAUUCACUAAAUUGCAAAAGCUUCUGAGGGCCUCCAGCCCCCUGAACCCCUAGCCAGGGUGUUGCCCUGGACCCACCGGGGGCCCUAGCGGCCCCCUGGUCCCCAACUUUUUCUUUCAGUAUUUUCAGUUUCUGUAACUUUUACCCCUGCAUGUACACAUGUGUUUAUCACCUCAAUAAAUGUAAGUGAAAAUGGAACAAUAAUUAUGGUAAUUAUCCAUGGUGCUAGAAAUACUUAAUUAUCUUUAUCAUCAUGUUAACUAAGCAAGAAGCUUAUAAUUGCGUAAUCUUACAAUAGUUAUCAAUUUAAACUUGAAAAUCUACUCUAAAUGACUUCCCAAACAGUAAGUUCUAAAAACAUGAAAAUGAUUCGUGUAGAAAAAUAACACAAGAAAAAACUGAUUUGACUCAUGAAAAUUUUUGGCCAAACAGUCUGCCACGUGAAAUUCUGACCUUCCUGAGAUCCCUGCUGUUUGUUUUUUUUAAUAACAUUUUACAUGAUUUAAUUUUAUGAUUAAACCUGUGUAUAGAGCCACUCAUGUGCAGAGCUGCAUCAGUACUAAGGGUGUAGUACUUAAGUACCAGUACCAGUACUUGGCAAAUUAUGCAGUACCAUUACCAGUACCAGUACUAGAUUUUAGCUCGGUACUGCAGUACCAGCACUUUUUUUGGUGAAGUAAUUAAUUAUCAGUACCAUUACUUUUAUAUAUUCAUCAAAGUUUGAAUAGAUACUGUGUCAAACAAAUAAAUUCAAAUAUUAUUCAGCAAAGAAAUAAAAUCAUAAUUUACUUUAAAGCUGUGCAGCAUGCCUCCAGAUGACCCAAAAUAUUUCAAGAAAAUUUAACUUGGAAAAAAAUUACUAAAACUUUGAGAAAAGUAAACAAAUUAAAGAUUCAAGUGAUAAUUUAUAUCUUAUGUGCAAUUAAUGACUGUAUUUUGUAGUAUUUAUCACCAUAUUUCUUCUGCGUUACUAAGGCAGUAGGGGCUAUUUAUGCAUGUUUUGACCUCUUUUUGGUAAUUUACGUGGAUUUUAAGUGCCGAUUGUAAUGUGUCUAGUACUUUCUUUGUUCAUGAAACAAUAUUUUACCUUUAAAUACAUUUUCAAAAUGUUCAUGAAAAUUAGUAUGAAUCUGGAGGUGUGCUGCUUUAAAGUUAACAUAACAUAUUUACACGGAUUUAUAUUACAAUGUAAUAUAAAUCCGUGAUAUUUACAACAGUUUUAACAUACUUUUUACAAACAAUAUUUACAACAUAUAUUCAUGUCAUAUCUAAUUGUUUAGUAACCAGUCAACUGUAUAAAUACAAUGCAAACAACUUUCAUUUAAAACACAACAGUCUUUUGUUGCCUUUCACACCUCUGUUCAAUUAAUACCAAAGUAAAUAACAACUUUUUAUGGUGCUAACAAUAUCACUUUUUUCACUUGAAAUGGGAUUUUUUAGAAUAGAAGAAAUUAAUUAUGUCUCCCCCACCUCGGGGGGAGACAUAUUGUUUUUGCCCUGUCUGUCCGUCAGUCCGUCCGUCCGUCCGUCAGUCCGUCCAUUCUUCGUUUCCGGACGAUAACUAGAGUUCCUUUUGACCUACAGCUCUCAAACUUCAUAGGAUGAAUGGUCUUAUUGAGCAGAUGAUCCCUAUUGUUUUUGGGGUCAGUAGUUCAAAGGUCAAGGUCACAGUGACCGUUGGUCAAUUUCUCGUUUCCGGAUGAUAACUAGAGUUCCUUUUGACCUACAGCCCUCAAACUUCAUAGGAUGAUUGGUCUUAUAGAGCUGAUGAUCCCUAUUGUUUUUGGGGUCAGUAGGUCAAAGGUCAAGGUCACAGUGACCGUUGGUCAAUUUCUCGUUUCCGGAUGAUAACUAGAGUUCCUUUAGACCUACAGACCUCAAACUUCAUAGGAUGAUUGGUCUUAUUGAGCAGAUGAUCCCUAUUGUUUUUGGGGUCAGUAGUUCAAAGGUCAAGGUCACAGUGACCGUUGGUCAAUUUCUCGUUUCCGGAUGAUAACUAGAGUUCCUUUUGACCUACAGCCCUCAAACUUCAUAGGAUGAUUGGUCUUAUAGAGCAGAUGAUCCCUAUUGUUUUUGGGGUCAGUAGGUCAAAGGUCAAGGUCACAGUGACCGUUGGUCAAUUUCUCAUUUCCGGAUGAUAACUAGAGUUCCUUUUGACCUACAACCCUCAAACUGGGGGGAGACAUAUUGUUUUUGCCCUGUCCGUCCGUCAGUCCGUCCGGCCGUCAGUCCGUCCGUCCAUUCUUCGUUUCCGGACGAUAACUAGAGUUCCUUUUGACCUACAGCUCUCAAACUUCAUAGGAUGAAUGGUCUUAUUGAGCAGAUGAUCCCUAUUGUUUUUGGGGUCAGUAGUUCAAAGGUCAAGGUCACAGUGACCGUUGGUCAAUUUCUCGUUUCCGGAUGAUAACUAGAGUUCCUUUUGACCUACAGCCCUCAAACUUCAUUGGAUGAUUGGUCUUAUAGAGCUGAUGAUCCCUAUUGUUUUUGGGGUCAGUAGGUCAAAGGUCAAGGUCACACUGACCGUUGGUCAAUUUCUCGUUUCCGGAUGAUAACUAGAGUUCCUUUAGACCUACAGACCUCAAACUUCAUAGGAUGAUUGGUCUUAUUGAGCAGAUGAUCCCUAUUGUUUUUGGGGUCAGUAGUUCAAAGGUCAAGGUCACAGUGACCGUUGGUCAAUUUCUCGUUUCCGGAUGAUAACUAGAGUUCCUUUUGACCUACAGCCCUCAAACUUCAUAGGAUGAUUGGUCUUAUAGAGCAGAUGAUCCCUAUUGUUUUUGGGGUCAGUAGGUCAAAGGUCAAGGUCACGGUGACCGUUGGUCAAUUUCUCAUUUCCGGAUGAUAACUAGAGUUCCUUUUGACCUACAACCCUCAAACUUCAUAGGAUGAUUGGUCUUAUUAAUCAAAUGAUCCCUAUUGUUUUAAUGGUCAGUAGGUCAAAGGUCAAGGUCACAGCGACCGUUGGUUAAUUUCUCCUUUCCGGAUGAUAACUAGAGUUCCUUUAGACCUACAACCCUCAAACUUCAUAGGAUGAUUGGUCUUAUUGAGCAGAUGAUCCCUCUUGUUUAUGGGGUCAGUAGGUCAAAGGUUAAGGUCACAGUGACCAUUGGUCAUUUUCUCAUUUCCGGAUGAUAACUAGAGUUCUUAUCAGUGAGGACAUUUAACUAUUAUUGAUAUAUCAGUGAUAUAUCAGUUGUCUGGUUUUAUAUACUCUGUUCUUUUAUCUCCAUUUCCAUUCCUGUUUCCAUUCACAGUUAUUCUCAGCAGUGGGGGAGACAUGCGCUUUUU